RNAcentral lists this long non-coding RNA (1513 nucleotides) under Helianthus annuus (common sunflower). Its description in RNAcentral is "hypothetical non coding rna". The record is from RNAcentral. Lineage: Eukaryota; Viridiplantae; Streptophyta; Magnoliopsida; Asterales; Asteraceae.
UUGAAAAUCUCAUCAAGAUCUUUUCUCAGAAGAUGAAAGUCCUACCAUCUACAAGACCCAUACCCAAUUUUCACUUCCCCACUUUCUAAUCAUACAAGACUUUCAAAAUCCAAACACCCUCUUCUCUCCUGCAUCCACUCCGGCGACCGGAACCGGAGAAAUUCCGGCCAGUGCUGACCGAAUUCUAGUGAGCCGCACCACACCCGAGCCCCCUCUCUCUCGAUUACACCCCGACUCCUCCCUAACAACACCCCAACCCCCUCUUCGUCACUCAACCACCACACAACUUUGUUUUUUUUACGGAAACAGUGACAAACGGCUGCAAAAAUGCAUCGGAGAGAGAGGGAAACGAGGACACACACACAGAGAGAGAGAGAGAGAGAGAGAGAACUAGAACAGAAAAUGGCUGUGGCGCCGCCGCUCACGACGGCGGCAGUGGAGAACUGACGGUGGUGGUGUGUCUCCGACAAGCUCCGGUUAGUGAACUUAGUAUGUUAUUUUGUUUCUUUUUACUCCGAUCCGUUAGAACGUGUGCACUCAAAAAUCUACGUUUUAUGUUUUUUUUUUCCGAUGCUAAUCGUUAUGUCGGUGAGGAUGCCGACGUUGUGGUGGCCGACGGCGGCCGGAGCUGCGACAACAAUAACAACCGGCAGUGGUGGUGGUUACAGUUCAACUUUUGAUGUUGGGUUCUUGGUUCGAGCCGGGUUAUAACGUUCCAGAUUCAUGAUGCGACUCGGUCAACUCACGGUUCGAAUUACGUCUCGGCUCAGGUCAGAACUUGUUUUUGGAGUGUAUUGGUUCAGUUUUGGUUGGUUCAAAAAUGCUUCGGAUUCGAUUCAAGCUCGACAAAAUUCUGGGUUGGUUCGUGUUCGGUGUUCGAGUCAAAGAUCGGUCAACAUAAGUCAACAGCGGUCAACCGUAGUCAACGACAAUUAACUCGGUCAACACUUGGUCAACUGAGGGAAAACUUAGUCAACACAACCCGGAAUACUAUAGAUGCACGCUAGCGAGUUCACAUUCUUGGAAUGACAUCACGGAAUCACGUUAAGCUAGCUUUGCACAGGAAUAUUCAGGUUGCAUUUUUCAAAACUACGGAACGGUUGGAAUAGGAGAACCACGGGAUUUCGAGUACUUAGCGGGCGUUCAUUGUUUAGAAGUCUUAGCUACUUGCUUCCGCUGUGCAAUGAAGAUACCAGUCCGGUCACGCCAACUCUGAUAUUUCGGGGUGUGACAGAUAUACUGUCCAAAAUUAUAAUUUCAUAUAGUGAGGUGCUGCUACGAUACCGGGUUAAACAGGCUAAUCAGUAGAUUAAACUCCGCCCGUAUAAAUCUGCAAGGUGAUCUGUUGUGAUCCAAGAAAAGUGCCGUGAAGCACUACAAGCUUAAGGAAGUGGCUCAAUAUAAAUAAAUAAAGAAACAUGUUUUGUGAAAUAAAGAUUUCCCAGUGAAAUCACUUUAUUGUAAAUUACAGGGUUUUAUCCCUAAAUUAUGUAAUAAAGUAAACGGGCAUUUU